Molecule: ribosomal RNA, 323 nt
Filed under: uncultured bacterium
Lineage: Bacteria
Description: bacterial SSU rRNA
Rfam family: Bacterial small subunit ribosomal RNA
Source: RNAcentral
GAUGAACGCUGGCGGCGUGCUUAAUACAUGCAAGUCGAGCGAAGCACUUUAACGGAAUUCUUCGGAAGGAAGGUAAAGUGACUGAGCGGCGACGGGUGAGUAACGCGUGGGUAACCUGCCUUAUACAGGGGGAUAACAGUUAGAAAUGGCUGCUAAUACCGCAUAAGCGCACAGGACCGCAUGGUCUGGUGUGAAAAACUCCGGUGGUAUAAGAUGGACCCGCGUCUGAUUAGCUGGUUGGUGGGGUAACGGCCCACCAAGGCGACGAUCAGUAGCCGGCCUGAGAGGGUGAUCGGCCACAUUGGGACUGAGACACGGCCCAA